CAAGAUAUAGCUUAAACAAAGCAUUUAGUUUACACCUAGAAGAUUCCACAGUCCGUGUAUAUCUUGA
This 67-nucleotide transfer RNA is filed under the name Eschrichtius robustus (grey whale). Its description in RNAcentral is "transfer RNA-Val". It matches the Rfam family "tRNA". From Rfam's summary of the family: Transfer RNA (tRNA) molecules are approximately 80 nucleotides in length. Their secondary structure includes four short double-helical elements and three loops (D, anti-codon, and T loops). The record is from RNAcentral. Lineage: Eukaryota; Metazoa; Chordata; Mammalia; Artiodactyla; Eschrichtiidae.